This 1043-nucleotide long non-coding RNA is filed under the name Homo sapiens (human). RNAcentral's name for it is "HSALNT0058881". The record is from RNAcentral. Lineage: Eukaryota; Metazoa; Chordata; Mammalia; Primates; Hominidae.
UGAAACUGAAAACUAGAAGAAUACACAUUUUAAAUUUUACUUUAAGACAGCCAUUUCUAACUCUACAAUUUCUUUCAUUGCCAUUGGAAGAGCUAGAACAAUGGUUCUCUAUCUUCAAUGUGCAUCAGAAUCCACUAAAGAACUUAUUAAAAUAUAGAUUGCAAGCCCUAACACCCAGAGUUUCUGACUUAAUCUGUCAGGCUGGGACUCAAGAAUUUGCAUUUACAUGUCUAAUAAGGUAAUUUCUAACUGCGUGAUUUACAUUCUAACAAGGUGAUUUACAUUUCUAACAAGGUGAUGUUGAUGCAGCUAGUUUGGAGACCUUGCUUUGAGAAUCACUGAGAUGAACUGUCUACCCUACAUAUAAAUCAACCUAAAUUUUGUAUAGAAAAAUUCAUGGAAUGUAUGGGAUUCUUGUUUCCAGACCAGGUUACAUCACAAUUUUUAAAAUUUCACUGUGGAAAAAGUUACAAACGAAUGUAAACUUACCAGAAGUAAGAAAGAUAUAAUAUUUCCAAACCAGACACAGAGGAAAAUACAUCUAUUUCCUAUCAUUAAAUACUUACAAGAAGUAAAAGAUAAAAAGAAAGAGCCAAUGGAUGUAGGAAGCUUUGGGACCUCUCCUCUCCAGCUAUCUGAGAGAUACUGCUUCCCGCAAACAGUUUGCCUCUGUGAUCCUUAUUUACCUCUACCUUUUCCAUGAGAUUGAGAACACUAUAAGAAAGCCUACAAAUGCUAUGGUUGCACAUACAGAAAAAUCCAAGACCUCAGAGACUUCUUCCCAUCACUCUUUGAUGUAACUGAUUUCUCCCCAUCAGUAUCCUGAUCAUCUGGUUCCUUCAUUUCCUCUGAUCCAGGAUGACCCACCAGUAGGAGGGUGCAACUACCACCAGAGACCUCUGACCUCUGCAAGACAGCUAAUUAUAAUCACAGAUUCUCUUUCUCUAGGUAAAUUGUCAUUGUGGUGCACUUUGGUUUUCCAGAGGUCCACUACCAAAGUUCAUCUUUUCCCCAGAUGCUUCACCAUUAAAAUUAACUUUCUG